UGCAGUCGAACGGUGAUAGCAAUAUCAUAGUGGCGCACGGGUGCGUAACACGUAUGCAACCUACCUAUUAUUGGGGGAUAGCCUUUGGAAGCGGAGAUUAAUACCGCAUAAUACGAUUGACUGGCAUCGGUUGAUUGUUAAAGCUUCGGCGAUAAUAGAUGGGCAUGCGUCCAAUUAGUUAGUUGGUUAGGUAACGGCUGACCAAGACGAUGAUUGGUAGGGGAUCCGAGAGGAUAAUCCCCCACACUGGCACUGAGAUACGGGCCAGACUCCUACGGGAGGCAGCAGUAGGGAAUAUUGGGCAAUGGGCGGAAGCCUGACCCAGCCAUGCCGCGUGCAGGAAGAAGGCGUUAUGCGUUGUAAACUGCUUUUUUAUAGGAAGAAGGAUCCCUUGCGAGGGAAGGUGACGGUACUAUAAGAAUAAGCACCGGCUAACUCCGUGCCAGCAGCCGCGGUAAUACGGAGGGUGCAAGCAUUGUCCGGAUUUAUUGGGUUUAAAGGGUGCGUAGGCGGUUUAUUAAGUCAGUGGUGAAAGACGGUCGCUCAACGAUUGCAGUGCCAUUGAUACUGGUAGACUUGAGUGAGAUUGAGGUAGCUGAAUGGAUANUGUAGCGGUGAAAUGCAUAGAUAUUAUCCAGAACACCGAUUGCGAAGGCAGGUUACUAAGUCUUAACUGACGCUGAG
Molecule: ribosomal RNA, 684 nt
Filed under: uncultured bacterium
Lineage: Bacteria
Description: bacterial SSU rRNA
Rfam family: Bacterial small subunit ribosomal RNA
Source: RNAcentral